GCACAGGUGAGGAGUCCCACAAUAGAACGAAACGGCCGUCCAGUAU
Molecule: non-coding RNA, 46 nt
Organism: Schistosoma curassoni
Lineage: Eukaryota; Metazoa; Platyhelminthes; Trematoda; Strigeidida; Schistosomatidae
Source: Rfam